Molecule: ribosomal RNA, 446 nt
Filed under: uncultured bacterium
Lineage: Bacteria
Description: bacterial SSU rRNA
Rfam family: Bacterial small subunit ribosomal RNA
Source: RNAcentral
GUAGGGAAUAUUGGACAAUGGGGGGAACCCUGAUCCAGCCAUGCCGCGUGGAGGAAGACUGCCCUCUGGGUUGUAAACUCCUUUUAUAUGGGAAGAACCGUCCUCAUUAAUGAGUGACCUGACGGUACCAUAGGAAUAAGCACCGGCUAACUCCGUGCCAGCAGCCGCGGUAAUACGGAGGGUGCAAGCGUUAUCCGGAUUCACUGGGUUUAAAGGGUGCGUAGGCGGAUAAAUAAGUCAGUGGUGAAAUCAACGGGCUCAACCUGUUAACUGCCAUUGAUACUGUGUAUCUUGAAUAUGAGAGAGGUAGGCGGAAUGUUGCAUGUAGCGGUGAAAUGCUUAGAUAUGCUACGGAACACCGAUUGCGAAGGCAGCUUACUAUUUCGUAAUUGACGCUGAGGCACGAAAGCGUGGGUAGCGAACAGGAUUAGAUACCCCGGUAGUCC